Non-coding RNA from Camelus ferus (Wild Bactrian camel), 72 nucleotides. The record is from Rfam. NCBI's taxonomy places the organism in Eukaryota, Metazoa, Chordata, Mammalia, Artiodactyla, Camelidae.
GAGGGGAUAGCUCAGUGGUAGAGUACAUGCCUUGCAUGCACGAGGUCCUGGGUUCAAUUCCCAGUACUUCUG